Small nuclear RNA from Bombina bombina (fire-bellied toad), 136 nucleotides. RefSeq annotates it as U4 spliceosomal RNA. The transcript has a single exon. The record is from RefSeq and is a predicted model, not a curated record. NCBI's taxonomy places the organism in Eukaryota, Metazoa, Chordata, Amphibia, Anura, Bombinatoridae.
AGCUUUGCGCAGUGGCAGUAUCGUAGCCCGUGAGGUUCAACCGAGGCGCGAUUAUUGCUAAUUGGGAAACCAAAACCGGAAGUAACAAUAGGUGACCAUGUGGAGUCAAGAGUGAAUGAGUGAAGAGUGUAUACUC